GGAGAGAGAGAAAGAGAGAGAGAGAUCUGGUGGAGAAGGAGAAUGACGACAUCGACGGCAGACGGGCAGCUGCGGCGGCGGUGGUGGAUCUCGACGGCAGCUUGUCGUGAUGACACGGCUGCGCCGCUACUCACGGUGGAGGUGGCGAUGGAUUUCGACACCCCCCCUAAAUCGAGUUCCCUGAAUGUGAUUCCGGCUUCUGAUCAUUCCGAUUUGGUAACGAUGGUGGCUGUACUGGUUGACGACAGCCGCACUUCGUGACUUCUCAGGUGGGGUGUGGUUGUUCCGGUUUGAAUUUUAGCUUCGGUUCAAGUCAGAUUUGAUUUGGUUUAACUCGGGUUGACUAGGUCAAACCGAGUCAACUCAUUGUUCGGGUUAGCGACAGUGGAGCCGGAAAACGGAAGUGAUGUCGGCUGGAUUGGUGGUGGAUAUCCUCGGAUUGGGUUUCGAUUCACAUUCGGUGUAAGUUUGGUUCAACUCGGUUAACAAAGUCAAACCAGUCAACACGUCAGGUUGACUGGUCAACGCUGGUCAACAGGAGUCAAGGGCAGUCAACAACAGUCAACGGAUUGGUUUCGGGUCAACAGCGGUCAAACAGGUCAAACGAGGUCAACUCAGGACCCGGUAACGACUUAAACAUAACGAGAUUUAUUGAUUUCGUUGUUUUUUUUUAGUCUACGCGAACCGAGCUUGAACCGCCGUACUCUAGUUUAUUUAUUUUAGCGUUCGUUAUAUUUUGCGAAAGAUAUAUAUAAUUGUGGUUGGUUUAU
Helianthus annuus (common sunflower) is the source of this 770-nucleotide long non-coding RNA. RefSeq lists it as uncharacterized. The record is from RefSeq and is a predicted model, not a curated record. The transcript has 2 exons. NCBI's taxonomy places the organism in Eukaryota, Viridiplantae, Streptophyta, Magnoliopsida, Asterales, Asteraceae.